This 473-nucleotide ribosomal RNA is filed under the name uncultured organism. Its description in RNAcentral is "partial 16S ribosomal RNA". It matches the Rfam family "Bacterial small subunit ribosomal RNA", at positions 334 to 798 of the family's 1533-position model. The record is from RNAcentral.
CACUCCUACGGGAGGCAGCAGUGGGGAAUAUUGCACAAUGGGCGCAAGCCUGAUGCAGCCAUGCCGCGUGUAUGAAGAAGGCCUUCGGGUUGUAAAGUACUUUCAGCGGGGAGGAAGGCAAUACGGUUAAUAACCGUGUUGAUUGACGUUACCCGCAGAAGAAGCACCGGCUAACUCCGUGCCAGCAGCCGCGGUAAUACGGAGGGUGCAAGCGUUAAUCGGAAUUACUGGGCGUAAAGCGCACGCAGGCGGUCUGUCAAGUCGGAUGUGAAAUCCCCGGGCUCAACCUGGGAACUGCAUUCGAAACUGGCAGGCUUGAGUCUUGUAGAGGGGGGUAGAAUUCCAGGUGUAGCGGUGAAAUGCGUAGAGAUCUGGAGGAAUACCGGUGGCGAAGGCGGCCCCCUGGACAAAGACUGACGCUCAGGUGCGAAAGCGUGGGGAGCAAACAGGAUUAGAAACCCCGGUAGUCCCAU